GUCAGGAUGGCCAAGUGGUCUAAGGCACCAGACUCAACCUUUGUUUCUGGUGUCCAAAUGGAGGCAUGGGUUCAAAUGCCAAUUCUGACA
Molecule: transfer RNA, 90 nt
Filed under: Loxodonta africana (African savanna elephant)
Lineage: Eukaryota; Metazoa; Chordata; Mammalia; Proboscidea; Elephantidae
Rfam family: tRNA
About the family: Transfer RNA (tRNA) molecules are approximately 80 nucleotides in length. Their secondary structure includes four short double-helical elements and three loops (D, anti-codon, and T loops). Further hydrogen bonds mediate the characteristic L-shaped molecular structure. tRNAs have two regions of fundamental functional importance: the anti-codon, which is responsible for specific mRNA codon recognition, and the 3' end, to which the tRNAs corresponding amino acid is attached (by aminoacyl-tRNA synthetases). tRNAs cope with the degeneracy of the genetic code in two manners: having more than one tRNA (with a specific anti-codon) for a particular amino acid; and 'wobble' base-pairing, i.e. permitting non-standard base-pairing at the 3rd anti-codon position.
Source: Rfam by way of RNAcentral